Molecule: unclassified non-coding RNA, 635 nt
Filed under: Achyrophorus laevigatus
Lineage: Eukaryota; Viridiplantae; Streptophyta; Magnoliopsida; Asterales; Asteraceae
Description: sequence contains ITS1, 5.8S rRNA gene and ITS2
Rfam family: 5.8S ribosomal RNA (bases 257-412)
Source: RNAcentral
UCGAACCCUGCAAGGCAGAACGACCAGUGAACAUGUAAUUACUAUCGGGUGAUGGGGAGACGGACCUUGGUUCUUAAUCCCAUCCCCUCUCCAUAUGCGUUUGUGGUGCCUCUUUUGGGGUGCCAUGUAUGUCAUGUUGGAACAUAACAAACCCCGGCACGGCAUGUGCCAAGGAAAACAAAAUUGAGUAGGACUCAUCCUGUGUUGCCCCGUUUGCGGUGUGCAUGACGGAUGUGGCCUCUUUAUAAUUACAAACGACUCUCGGCAACGGAUAUCUCGGCUCACGCAUCGAUGAAGAACGUAGCAAAAUGCGAUACUUGGUGUGAAUUGCAGAAUCCCGUGAACCAUCGAGUUUUUGAACGCAAGUUGCGCCCGAAGCCAUCCGGCCGAGGGCACGCCUGCCUGGGCGUCACGCAUCGCGUCGCCCCCACCAAAGUUACCUAACCGGUAAUCAUGUUGUUGGGGGCGGAGAUUGGCCUCCCGUACCUGUUGCGGUUGGCCUAAAAUGGAGUCCCCUUCAGCGGACACACGACUAGUGGUGGUUGAACAGACCCUYGUCUUUAUCGUGUGUCAUGAGCUGCUAGGGAGCCCUCUUCAAAGACCCCAUCGUAUCGUCUUUGGACGGUGCUUCGACC